CGCGGCGGAGGCUACAGCAACCAGGCUUGNAGGAAACGACACUAACNAUCCUCCGGGUGCNUUUGAUUGGGCGUCGAGCGGCGGACGGGUGAGUAAUGCCUAGGAAAUUGCCUUGAUGUGGGGGAUAACCAUUGGAAACGAUGGCUAAUACCGCAUAAUGCCUACGGGCCAAAGAGGGGGACCUUCGGGCCUCUCGCGUCAAGAUAUGCCUAGGUGGGAUUAGCUAGUUGGUGAGGUAAUGGCUCACCAAGGCGACGAUCCCUAGCUGGUCUGAGAGGAUGAUCAGCCACACUGGAACUGAGACACGGUCCAGACUCCUACGGGAGGCAGCAGUGGGGAAUAUUGCACAAUGGGCGAAAGCCUGAUGCAGCCAUGCCGGUGUAUGAACGAAGGCCUUCGGGUUGUAAAGUACUUUCAGUUCUGUGANGANAGGGUGUGUCACGUCUAAUAGCUGCGGCAUUCUUGACGUUAGCAACAGCAGAAAGCACCGGCUAAACUCCGUGCCAGCAGCCGCGGGUCAUCACCGGGACCGGUGCCGACGCGUUACACUCCGGGAAAUACCUUGGGGCCGGUACAACGCGGGCCUUGCCCAGGUUGGCGUUCCAUUCUNAGGUUCGUCAUUGGUUNCAACAUCGCCCCGGGGGCCUUCCAU
RNAcentral lists this ribosomal RNA (652 nucleotides) under Vibrio sp. UST050418-831. Its description in RNAcentral is "bacterial SSU rRNA". The stretch from base 1 to 541 matches the Rfam family "Bacterial small subunit ribosomal RNA", at positions 63 to 540 of the family's 1533-position model. Lineage: Bacteria; Pseudomonadati; Pseudomonadota; Gammaproteobacteria; Vibrionales; Vibrionaceae. The record is from RNAcentral.